UACGUAGGCAGCGAGCGUUGUUCGGAAUUACUGGGCGUAAAGAGUGUGUAGGUGGUGCUCUAAGUUCGGUGUGAAAUCUCCCGGCUCAACUGGGAGGGUGCGCCGAAUACUGAAUGACUCGAGUGUGGGAGAGGUGAGUGGAAUUCCUGGUGUAGCGGUGAAAUGCGUAGAUAUCAGGAGGAACACCGGUGGUGUAGACGGCUCACUGGACCAUAACUGACGCUGAGACACGAAAGCGUGGGUAGCAAACAGG
RNAcentral lists this ribosomal RNA (253 nucleotides) under uncultured bacterium. RNAcentral describes it as "partial 16S ribosomal RNA". It matches the Rfam family "Bacterial small subunit ribosomal RNA", at positions 524 to 776 of the family's 1533-position model. The record is from RNAcentral.